Astatotilapia calliptera (eastern happy) is the source of this 924-nucleotide long non-coding RNA. The record is from Ensembl. Lineage: Eukaryota; Metazoa; Chordata; Actinopteri; Cichliformes; Cichlidae.
GUGAUCCUCUGAAAACAACAGCUGCUGGAAACAGACUCAGUCAGACACACAACCCAGAACCAGCAGAUGGGAGAGCCUGACUGUUACCCUAUCAGCCUGAUCUCUGCGCAGCACAGAGGGAAAUAUUCAAACUGCCUCAGGCUGGUUUGUCUCUGCUCUGGAGGGCAAACUGUCAGGACAUGUUUUUGGAAUAACGAUCAUGAAGAAAUCUUUCUACGGGGAUUCUCCCAGACUGAGUCAGGACUCGGUGGGUGCAUGUGGAGGCAGCCUAAGAUCGGUUGUAGAGGUGCAGCGGAGAAAAGGCUCGCUUUAAGAUAAAUCUGAUUAUUAAAGGUAGAUUUUCCAUCAUCGGCUGGCUGUGAUCUCUUCACCUGUGCGGUGACAGCGACAGGUCUGGCCUUGCUCUCAGCGUUCACCUUAUCUCCCCAUCUCUUCCAAGUAAUCGGUGGGUGGAGCUGACCCGGUGAUUAAGGAUGCAGCUCACCUGAGCAGCUCGGCACUGAGCUGGAAUCUGUGGGAGGAUUCGGUAACGGCAGACAGGGAGGUAGAUGUUUGACUUUCAGAUGAAGUCAUGACCCCUGCCUGGUCCCGGCUCCCCCUCCCUCUCCCUGUGUCUCUCUGGUGUGAGAUACUCACUGCAAACAGUUCUGAUGUGAUGAUUUUGAAAAUGCUGCUGCUCGAGGUUAUAUGCUGAUGGCUGCUGUACAGGAAGGAGGAAUUCCUCAAAUGAUACUAACGAGCAUCAUGAGCUUAACCUGAAGCUCCAACUCCCGUCACUGCACACUGUCCAAGUUUAUCCUGCACGUCUGCUGCUGUCAUUGCUUUAUCACAUCUGUCUCUGUUUAUGAUCAAUGCUUAUCUGCGUGCUCUCACACACACACACACACACACACACACACACACACACACACACACACACACACC